GCAAACUUGGUCAUUUAGAGGAAGUAAAAGUCGUAACAAGGUUUCCGUAGGUGAACCUGCGGAAGGAUCAUUACCGGGUAUCAGGGGCUUCGGCCCCGCUCCCACACCCUCUGCAAACCCUUUGACGACCCCAUGGCACAAGGUCGCGCGGGGGGACCCCUUAGGGGGCCCCUUCCUCUGACCUGCCAGCCAACCGAAACUCUGUCUCAAACCUUGCGUUCUGAGCACUACUAUGAAAAUAGCGAAAAACUUUCAACAACGGAUCUCUUGGUUCUGGCAUCGAUGAAGAACGCAGC
This 296-nucleotide unclassified non-coding RNA is filed under the name uncultured fungus. RNAcentral's name for it is "partial contains small subunit ribosomal RNA, internal transcribed spacer 1, and 5.8S ribosomal RNA". The stretch from base 1 to 73 matches the Rfam family "Eukaryotic small subunit ribosomal RNA", at positions 1759 to 1831 of the family's 1831-position model. The record is from RNAcentral. Lineage: Eukaryota; Fungi.